This 253-nucleotide ribosomal RNA is filed under the name uncultured bacterium. RNAcentral's name for it is "partial 16S ribosomal RNA". It matches the Rfam family "Bacterial small subunit ribosomal RNA", at positions 524 to 776 of the family's 1533-position model. The record is from RNAcentral.
UACGGGGGGGGCAAGCGUUGUUCGGAAUUACUGGGUGUAAAGGGCUCGUAGGCGGCCAACUAAGUCAGACGUGAAAUCCCCAGGCUCAACCUGGGAACUGCGUCUGAUACUGGUUGGCUUGAAUCCGGGAGAGGGAUGCAGAAUUCCAGGUGUAGCGGUGAAAUGCGUAGAUAUCGGGAGGAACACCAGAGGCGAAGGCAGCGACCUGGACAGGUACUGACACUCAACUACGAAAGCGUGGGGAGCAAACAGG